Heterocephalus glaber (naked mole-rat) is the source of this 770-nucleotide long non-coding RNA. The record is from Ensembl. NCBI's taxonomy places the organism in Eukaryota, Metazoa, Chordata, Mammalia, Rodentia, Bathyergidae.
CUUCACGACGAUUCUGACACACUUCUGUGCGGUGCUCCAGGGGCGUGGUGCCACUCUGUCCCAAGCGGUUCACAUUGUCCAAACUGUAGUGGGAGGCAAAGGCCAAAGCCUCCCAGACAGAGCCUUCUGCGGAUUCACCAUCUCCCAUGAGGCAGAACACUCGGUAACUGGCCUUGUCGCCACUUGCCUGUGUAAGCCAUUCCACACGCAGCACCUAAUCCUUGCCCAAGGGACCCUGUUGCCACAUCCACAAACGACAGUCGAGGGGUGGGAUGUCCUUCCGAGUCGCAGUGAAGCUUCCUCAGGCUCAGCAAGUCAGAUUCGCAGAUAUCGCCCACCUCGGCCCAAGUGGCAUAAAAGACUGGCACUGCGUGGCCCUUGGAGAGGACGAAUCUGUCGUUGUCGGCGUGCUCUGGGUCCGUCUGUUUAUACCUCAUCGUGUGGAAGAAGAGCACAGACAGGAUCUCGGCCGCACUACAGCAGGACAUAGGGUGGCCGGAGCUGCAGCCAUGAGUUGAGCAGCUUUCCUCCACCAUGCCCUUCCACCAUGCAGUUUCUGCCUUGAAACCAAUGGACUGAGCUCACUAAAACUUGACUGGACCAGUGAUUUGCCUCCAUCUGUGAAGGUGAAGCCAAAGACCAUCCAGUCCAGUUGACCCACCACAAAAAGAAACAAAAAGAUACUCCAACAACCUUAUGAAAGCUCUACAGAGUCAACAGUCAUUCUCAACCUCAAGAUCCUGGACUUGAAUGCGGGAGAGGAAUUUGGC